RNAcentral lists this ribosomal RNA (488 nucleotides) under uncultured bacterium. RNAcentral describes it as "bacterial SSU rRNA". It matches the Rfam family "Bacterial small subunit ribosomal RNA", at positions 31 to 507 of the family's 1533-position model. The record is from RNAcentral.
AUUGGAACGCUGGCGGCAUGCCUUACACAUGGCAAGUCGAACGGCAGCACGGGAGCAAGUCCUGGUGGCGAGUCGGCGAACGGGUGAGUAAUAUAUCGGAACGUGCCCAGUCGUGGGGGAUAACGCAGCGAAAGUUGUGCUAAUACCGCAUACGAUCUAUGGAUGAAAGCGGGGGAUCGCAAGACCUCGCGCGAUUGGAGCGGCCGAUAUCAGAUUAGGUUGUUGGUGAGGUAAAAGCUCACCAAGCCUGCGAUCUGUAGCUGGUCUGAGAGGACGACCAGCCACACUGGAACUGAGACACGGUCCAGACUCCUACGGGAGGCAGCAGUGGGGAAUUUUGGACAAUGGACGCAAGUCUGAUCCAGCAAUGCCGCGUGAGUGAAGAAGGCCCUCGGGUUGUAAAGCUCUUUUGUCCGGAAAGAAAAGCGCCGGGUUAAUACCCUGGUGUCCUGACGGUACCGGAAGAAUAAGCACCGGCUAACUUCGUG